AGUGAACGCUAGCGGUAGGCCUAACACAUGCAAGUCGAACGGCAGCACAGUAAGAGCUUGCUCUUACGGGUGGCGAGUGGCGGACGGGUGGGGAAUACAUCGGAAUCUACUUUUUCGUGGGGGAUAACGUAGGGAAACUUACGCUAAUACCGCAUACGACCUACGGGUGAAAGCAGGGGAUCUUCGGACCUUGCGCGAUUGGAUGAGCCGAUGUCGGAUUAGCUAGUUGGCGGGGUAAAGGCCCACCAAGGCGACGAUCCGUAGCUGGUCUGAGAGGAUGAUCAGCCACACUGGAACUGAGACACGGUCCAGACUCCUACGGGAGGCAGCAGUGGGGAAUAUUGGACAAUGGGCGCAAGCCUGCUCCAGCAAUACCGCGUGGGUGAAGAAGGCCUUCGGGUUGUAAAGCCCUUUUGUUGGGAAAGAAAAGCAGCAGGUUAAUACCCCGCUGUUCUGACGGUACCCAAAGAAUAAGCACCGGCUAACUUCGUG
RNAcentral lists this ribosomal RNA (492 nucleotides) under uncultured bacterium. RNAcentral's name for it is "partial 16S ribosomal RNA". It matches the Rfam family "Bacterial small subunit ribosomal RNA", at positions 29 to 507 of the family's 1533-position model. The record is from RNAcentral.